AUGUUGGCAUUCGCCAUCAGGACCAUGGUGAAGCCGCUGGGCUUCCUCAAGCCCUCCUCCCUGAGGAAGGUCGCCAGCCGCUUCAAGGCACACCAGGAGUCUCUGCCACGGCUGCCCGUGUCCCCGCUGCAGCAGACCCUGGACCAUUACCUGAAGACCCUGCAGCCCAUGGUGAGCGAGGAGGAAUGGGCCCACACCAAGAAGCUGGUGGAAGAGUUUCAGGCUGCAGGGGCCGUGGGAGAGCGCCUGCAGAAGGGGCUGGAGCGCAGGGCCAAGAAGAUGGAGAACUGGCUGUCCCAGUGGUGGCUCAAGAUGGCCUACCUCCAGUUCCGCCAGCCCCUGGUCAUCUACUCCAGCCCCGGCCUAGUGCUGCCCAGGCAGGACUUUGUGGAUCUGCAGGGACAACUCCGGUUUGCUGCCAAAUUCAUCGAGGGUGUGCUGGAUUUCAAGGCCAUGGUUGACAAUGAGACCCUUCCCGUGGAGUACUUGGGCAGGAAGCCGCUGUGCAUGAACCAGUACAAUCAGAUCCUGUUCUCCUGCCGCGUGCCAGGCCCCAAGCAGGACUCGGUCAUCAACUUCAGCAAGACCAAGAAGCCGCCCAUGCACAUCACAGUGGUGCACAACUACCAGUUCUUUGAGCUGGACGUGUACCACAGCGACGGGACACCCCUCACCUCGGACCAGCUCUUCGUGCAGCCGGAGAAGAUCUGGAACUCGUCGCUGCAGACCAACAAAGAGCCCGUGGGCAUCCUCACCUCCAACCACCGCAACUCCUGGGCCAAGGCCUACAACACCCUCAUCACAGACAAGGUGAACCGAGAGUCGGUGCGCUCCAUCCAGAAGAGCAUCUUCACCGUGUGCCUGGACACAGUCAUACCUCGGGUCUCAGAAGACAUGUACCGCAGCCAGGUGGCCGGCCAGAUGCUGCACGGGGGCGGCAGCGAGCUCAACAGCGGCAACCGCUGGUUCGACAAGACACUGCAGUUCAUCGGGGCAGAAGAUGGCUUCUGUGGGCUCAUUUACGAGCACGCAGCAGCAGAGGGGCCGCCCAUCAUCUCCCUCGUGGACCACGUCAUCGAGUACACGAAGAAGGCUGAGGUCGUGCGGUCUCCCAUGGUACCCCUGCCCAUGCCCAAGAAGCUUCGGUUCAACAUCACCCCCGAAAUCAAUAACGACAUUGAGAAGGCCAAGCAGAAUCUUAGCAUCAUGAUCCAGGACCUGGACAUGAUUGUGACCGUGUUCCACCACUUUGGGAAGGACUUCCCCAAGUCAGAGAAGCUGAGCCCUGACACCUUCAUCCAGAUGGCACUGCAGCUGGCCUACUACAGGGUCUACGGGCAGGCAUGUGCCACGUACGAAAGCGCCUCCCUGCUCAUGUUUCACCUGGGCCGUACUGACACCAUCCACUCAGCAUCCACGGAAUCACUGACCUUUGUCAAAGCCAUGGAUGACUCCAAUGUGACGGAGCAUCAGAAGGUGGAGCUGCUGCGGAAGGCCAUGGACGCCCACCGCGCCUACACCAACCAGGCCAUCCGUGGGGAGGCCUUGGACCGGCACCUGCUGGGCCUGAAGCUGCAGGCCAUCGAGGACCUGGUGAGCAUGCCUGACAUCUUCAUGGACACCUCCUACGCCAUCGCCAUGCACUUCAACCUCUCCACCAGCCAGGUCCCCUCCAAGACAGACUGCGUCAUGGGCUGUGCUCAGAGGCUGAGCAGGACAGAGGCCCAGGCGCCCCAUGUAUCGCCCAGAGCAGCCUUCCUCUGGGAAAGGAACCAGUCAACUCCAUCCCUACCAGUGAGCCUGGGAAGUCCUUCUCUGAUAGCUCAGCUCUGGCCAGUCCCUGCCAUCUGGGCUGAUCUGUACUCCAAUCCUCAAACGCCCAAAGGCCUGAAGACAGGACUAUCUGGAGUGGGGGACUCCAGGCCUCCCCACGGCCGAGGCCAGGGUGCGAGGCGGACUGGGGACGGGGCAUCUCCCACAGGACAGCUGUACUCUUUUGGAGAAUAUGGCUGAACAAUGUUCCUGGUUGUA
This is an RNA transcript of Myotis lucifugus (little brown bat), 2031 nucleotides long. It is a transcript of the gene named carnitine O-acetyltransferase pseudogene, with no coding region annotated. The transcript has a single exon. The record is from RefSeq and is a predicted model, not a curated record. NCBI's taxonomy places the organism in Eukaryota, Metazoa, Chordata, Mammalia, Chiroptera, Vespertilionidae.